This 76-nucleotide transfer RNA is filed under the name Methanobacteriota archaeon. RNAcentral's name for it is "Euryarchaeota archaeon tRNA-Asp". It matches the Rfam family "tRNA". From Rfam's summary of the family: Transfer RNA (tRNA) molecules are approximately 80 nucleotides in length. Their secondary structure includes four short double-helical elements and three loops (D, anti-codon, and T loops). The record is from RNAcentral. Lineage: Archaea; Methanobacteriati; Methanobacteriota.
GCUUGCGUAGUGUAGUGGCCUAUCAUGGUACCCUGUCACGGUACCGACCCGGGUUCAAAUCCCGGCGCGGGCGCCA